Non-coding RNA from Vicia faba (fava bean), 216 nucleotides. NCBI's taxonomy places the organism in Eukaryota, Viridiplantae, Streptophyta, Magnoliopsida, Fabales, Fabaceae. The record is from the annotation of a GenBank genome assembly.
AUGUUGGAAGUGCUUUGGCUGCCUCCCCAACCCGGUUGGAUUAAAGUUAAUGUUGAUGGUGCAUCAGCUGGACAUGUUAAUGCUUUAUUCGCGGAGUUCAUGGGGACCAUUUUUGCCAUGGAACAAGCUUUCCGUAAAAAUUGGUCAAAUCUCUGGAUGGAAACCGAUUCAUCUCUUGUGGUCUUGGCUUUUAGCAACUCUUGUGUGGUUCCUUAG